Molecule: ribosomal RNA, 402 nt
Filed under: uncultured prokaryote
Description: bacterial SSU rRNA
Rfam family: Bacterial small subunit ribosomal RNA
Source: RNAcentral
UAGGGAAUAUUGGUAAUCUGGGCAACCGGGAACCAGCAACGCCGCGUGCGCGAUGAAGGCCUUCGGGUUGUAAAGCGCUUUUUGAGAGGAUGAGGAAGGACAGUACUCUUAGAAUAAGCCUCGGCUAACUACGUGCCAGCAGCCGCGGUAAAACGUAGGAGGCGAGCGUUAUCCGGAUUUACUGGGCGUAAAGCGUGUGUAGGCGGUUUGAUAAGUUGGAUGUGAAAGCUGCUGGCUUAACUGGGAGAGGUCGUUCAAAACUAUCAGACGUGAGAGUGGUAGAGGGAGGUGGAAUUCCGCAGGUAGUGGUGAAAUGCGUAGAUAUGCGGAGGAACACCAGUGGCGAAAGCGGCCUCCUUGCCCAUUUCUGACGCUCAGACACGAAAGCUAAGGUAGCAAACG